GGUUGCGUAGUGUAGUGGUUAUCACUUCAGAUUUUGAUCCAACUAUGCAUGAACGUCUUCAAGUUCAAGCAUGCAUAAAUGAACAUCUUCUGAUAACCCCGGUUCGAACCCGGGCGCGACCU
This is a non-coding RNA of Aspergillus avenaceus, 122 nucleotides long. The record is from the annotation of a GenBank genome assembly. Lineage: Eukaryota; Fungi; Ascomycota; Eurotiomycetes; Eurotiales; Aspergillaceae.